Molecule: ribosomal RNA, 492 nt
Filed under: uncultured bacterium
Lineage: Bacteria
Description: partial 16S ribosomal RNA
Rfam family: Bacterial small subunit ribosomal RNA
Source: RNAcentral
AGUGAACGCUGGCGGUAUGCCUAACACAUGCAAGUCGAACGGCAGCACAGUAAGAGCUUGCUCUUACGGUUGGCGAGUGGCGGACGGGUGAGGAAUACAUCGGAAUCUACUUUUUCGUGGGGGAUAACGUAGGGAAACUUACGCUAAUACCGCAUACGACCUACGGGUGAAAGCAGAGGAUCUUCGGACCUUGCGCGAUUCAAUUAGCCGAUGUCGGAUUAGCUAGUUGGCGGGGUAAGGGCCCACCAAGGCGACGAUCCGUAGCUGGUCUGAGAGGAUGAUCAGCCACACUGGAACUGAGACACGGUCCAGACUCCUACGGGAGGCAGCAGUAGGGAAUAUUGGACAAUGGGCGAAAGCCUGAUCCAGCAAUGCCGCGUGAGUGAAGAAGGCCUUCGGGUUGUAAAGCCCUGUUGUUAGGGAAGAACAGCAGUAGGUUAAUACCUCGAUGUCCUGACGGUACCCAAAGAAUAAGCAACGGCUAACUUCGUG